RNAcentral lists this ribosomal RNA (424 nucleotides) under uncultured prokaryote. Its description in RNAcentral is "bacterial SSU rRNA". It matches the Rfam family "Bacterial small subunit ribosomal RNA", at positions 355 to 774 of the family's 1533-position model. The record is from RNAcentral.
UUAAGAAUCUUGCGCAAUGGGGGCAACCCUGACGCAGCGACGCCGCGUGGAUGAUGAAGGCCUUCGGGUUGUAAAGUCCGGUAAGCAGGGAAGAAUAAGCAACGGGAAAUAUUCGUUGUGAUGACGGUACCUGCCUAAAGCCCCGGCUAACUACGUGCCAGCAGCCGCGGUAAUACGUCUGGGGCGAGCGUUGUUCGGAAUUAUUCGGCGUAAAGGGCGUCUAGGCGGGGGAUUAAGUUAGAUGUGAAAGCUAUGGGCGCAACCCAUAAAUUGCAUCUAAGACUGGUUCUCUUGAGUUCGGGAGAGGAGAGCGGAAGUCCAGGUGUAGCGGUGAAAUGCGUAGAUAUCUGGAAGAACACCAGUGGCGAAGGCGGCUCUCUGGCCUAGGACUGACGCUGAAGCACGAAAGCGUGGGGAGCGAACA